RNAcentral lists this ribosomal RNA (252 nucleotides) under uncultured Bacteroidales bacterium. RNAcentral describes it as "partial 16S ribosomal RNA". It matches the Rfam family "Bacterial small subunit ribosomal RNA", at positions 524 to 776 of the family's 1533-position model. Lineage: Bacteria; Pseudomonadati; Bacteroidota; Bacteroidia; Bacteroidales. The record is from RNAcentral.
UACGUAGGUGGCAAGCGUUAUCCGGAUUUACUGGGUGUAAAGGGUGCGUAGGCGGAAUAUCAAGUCAGCGGUAAAAAUUCGGGGCUCAACCCCGUCGUGCCGUUGAAACUGAUGUUCUUGAGUGGGCGAGAAGUAUGCGGAAUGCGUGGUGUAGCGGUGAAAUGCAUAGAUAUCACGCAGAACUCCGAUUGCGAAGGCAGCAUACCGGCGCCCGACUGACGCUGAGGCACGAAAGCGUGGGUAUCGAACAGG